This 1338-nucleotide ribosomal RNA is filed under the name Oenococcus oeni. RNAcentral's name for it is "bacterial LSU rRNA". It matches the Rfam family "Bacterial large subunit ribosomal RNA", at positions 1 to 1355 of the family's 2925-position model. The record is from RNAcentral. Lineage: Bacteria; Bacillati; Bacillota; Bacilli; Lactobacillales; Lactobacillaceae.
GGUUAAGUUAAUAAGGGCGCAUGGUGGAUGCCUUGGCACUAGAAGGCGAUGAAGGACGUGACUAACUACGAUAUGCCUCGGUUAGCUGUAAGUAAGCUUACCCGGGGGUUUCCGAAUGGGGCAACCCGAUCUUAAUGAUCAUCAUCUUUUUGAAUUCAUAGAUUAGAUGAAGCAAACGCUGUGAACUGAAACAUCUAAGUAGCAGUAGGAAAGUAAAGAAAUUUCGAUUCCGUCAGUAGCGGCGAGCGAACGCGGAAGAGCCCAAACCUGGAUGCUUGCAUCCAGGGGUUGUAGGACUGAUGUUGAGUUACAAAGGUAUAAGAUAGCAGAAACAGUUGGGAAGCUGUUCCAAAGAGGGUGACAGGCCCGUAUGCGAAAUCUUGUACUCUCUAAUCAGGAUCCUGAGUACGGCCCAGCACGUGAAAUUGGGUCGGAAUCUGGGAGGACCAUCUCCCAAGGCUAAAUACUAACUAGUGACCGAUAGCGAACAAGUACCGUGAGGGAAAGGUGAAAAGAACCCCGGAAGGGGAGUGAAAUAGUUCUUGAAACCGUGUGCUUACAAGAAGUUCGAGGCCGUUAAUGGCUGAGAGCGUGCUUUUUGUAGAAUGAACCGGAGAGUUACGAUUGCGUGCAAGGUUAAGGUGCAAAGACUGGAGCCGUAGCGAAAGCGAGUCUUAAUAGGGCGAAUCAGUACGUAGUUGUAGACCCGAAACCGAGUGACCUAUCCAUGGUCAGGUUGAAGGUGGGGUAAUACCUACUGGAGGACCGAACAAGUGGGUGUUAAAAAACCCUUUGAUGAACUGUGGAUAGCGGUGAAAUUCCAAUCGAACUCGGAGAUAGCUGGUUCUAUCCGAAAUACAUUUAGGUGUAGCCUUGCAAUUAGCUUACUGGAGGUAGAGCACUAUUUGGUCUAGGGGCCCUUCAAGGGUUACCAAAAUCAGAUAAACUCCGAAUGCCAGCUAAGUAUGUGCAGGAGUCAGACGGUGAGUGAUAAGAUCCAUCGUCAAAAGGGGAACAGCCCAGAUCACCAGUUAAGGUCCCUAAAUAUAUGCUAAGUGGAAAACGUUGUGAAGGUGCAUAGACAACUAGGAGGUUGGCUCAGAAGCAGCCACCCUUUAAAGAGUGCGUAAUAGCUCACUAGUCGAGUGCUCUUGCGCGGAUAAUGUACCGGGGCUAAGCAUAUUACCGAAACUGUGGAUGCGUAAGCAUGGUAGGAUAGCGUAAUUAACGCGAUGAAGGAUGACCGUAAGGACAUGUUGGAGCGUUAACUAGUGAGAAUUCCGGUAUGAGUAGCGAAAGAUAGGUGAGAAUCCUAUCCACCGAAUGAGUAAGGUUUCC